GACGAACGCUGGCGGCGUGCUUAACACAUGCAAGUCGAACGGAAAGGCCCUGCUUUUGUGGGGUGCUCGAGUGGCGAACGGGUGAGUAACACGUGAGUAACCUGCCCUUGACUUUGGGAUAACUUCAGGAAACUGGGGCUAAUACCGGAUAGGAGCUCCUGCUGCAUGGUGGGGGUUGGAAAGUUUCGGCGGUUGGGGAUGGACUCGCGGCUUAUCAGCUUGUUGGUGGGGUAGUGGCUUACCAAGGCUUGGACGGGUAGCCGGCCUGAGAGGGUGACCGGCCACAUUGGGACUGAGAUACGGCCCAGACUCCUACGGGAGGCAGCAGUGGAGAAUAUUGCACAAUGGGCGGAAGCCUGAUGCAGCAACGCCGCGUGCGGGAUGACGGCCUUCGGGUUGUAAACCGCUUUCGCCUGUGACGAAGCGUGAGUGACGGUAAUGGGUAAAGAAGCACCGGCUAACUACGUG
Molecule: ribosomal RNA, 468 nt
Filed under: uncultured bacterium
Lineage: Bacteria
Description: partial 16S ribosomal RNA
Rfam family: Bacterial small subunit ribosomal RNA
Source: RNAcentral